GUACACGCUGUGACUAGCAUAUCAAUAAGCGGAGGAAAAGAAACUAACAAGGAUUCCCCUAGUAACGGCGAGUGAAGCGGGAAGAGCUCAAAUUUGAAAUCUUAAAGGGUCUCCCUUUACGAAUUGUAGUUUAAAGAAGUGUUUUCUGUUGAGGUUUUGGUAAAAGUUCUUUGGAAUAGGACAUCAUAGAGGGUGAGAAUCCCGUAUUUGACCUUUACUUUCCAACUUUGUGAUACACUUUCAAAGAGUCGGAUUGUUUGGGAAUGCAGUCCAAAAUGGGUGGUAAAUUUCAUCUAAAGCUAAAUAUUGGCGAGAGACCGAUAGCGAACAAGUACCGUGAGGGAAAGAUGAAAAGAACUUUGAAAAGAGAGUUAAACAGUACGUGAAAUUGUCAAAAGGGAAGCGUUUGACACCAGUGUUGUUUUUCUGAAAAUCAAUUAAAGAACUGUUUAUGCUAAGCUGUUUAGACUUUAUCAGCUAACUGUUUAGUUUUGAGCUUUUCUUUAAUGCACUUUUCAGUUAACAAGUCAACAUCAAUUUCUUUUGCUGUAAAAAAGCUUGAGGAAGGUGGCUUGAGAUUCGUCUUAAGUGUUUAUAGCCUCUUGCCUAUGCAGUCGGAGAGAUUGAGGUCUGCAGCGUAGAUCCUUCGGGGCUAAAUGCAUUUGUGCUAAGUUAUAAGCAUUUUAUAGACAACUUGUUGACUAUGAUUUGUCUUGUAGCUUACUCGCUUAUGUUAUUUUACCUACGCUUAGGAUGUUGAAGUCAUCGUAUCGCGC
This 776-nucleotide ribosomal RNA is filed under the name uncultured Neocallimastigales. RNAcentral describes it as "partial large subunit ribosomal RNA". It matches the Rfam family "Eukaryotic large subunit ribosomal RNA", at positions 22 to 645 of the family's 3401-position model. Lineage: Eukaryota; Fungi; Neocallimastigomycota; Neocallimastigomycetes; Neocallimastigales. The record is from RNAcentral.